Molecule: ribosomal RNA, 607 nt
Filed under: uncultured eukaryote
Lineage: Eukaryota
Description: SSU rRNA
Rfam family: Eukaryotic small subunit ribosomal RNA
Source: RNAcentral
GUACGUAAGUUGUUGCAGUUAAAAAGCUCGUAGUUGGAUCUCAGGCUUGUGGCCGGUGGUCCGCUCGAUACGGGUGUGCACUGCCGUGUCCGGCCUACGUCUGGUCUAACGUCCAUAGUGCCCUUAACCGGGUGCUAUGGAAUGCCAGAAAGUUUACUCUGAAAAAAUUAGAGUGCUCAAAGCAAGCCGUUUGUGCUUGAAUACUGUUGCAUGGAAUAAUGGAAUAGGACCUCGGUUCUAUUUUGUUGGUUUUCGGAGUCGAGGUAAUGAUUAAGAGGGACAGACGGGGGCAUUCGUAUUGCGCCGUUAGAGGUGAAAUUCUUGGAUCGGCGCAAGACGAACAACUGCGAAAGCAUUUGCCAAGGAUGUUUUCAUUAAUCAAGAACGAAAGUCAGAGGUUCGAAGACGAUCAGAUACCGUCGUAGUUCUGACCAUAAACGAUGCCAACUGGCGAUCCGCCGCAGUCUGGCUUAAAGGACUCGGCGGGCAGCCUCCGGGAAACCUAAGUCUAUGGGUUCCGGGGGAAGUAUGGUUGCAAAGCUGAAACUUAAAGGAAUUGACGGAAGGGCACCACCAGGAGUGGAGCCUGCGGCUUAAUUUGACUCAA